This 520-nucleotide long non-coding RNA is filed under the name Homo sapiens (human). RNAcentral's name for it is "long independently transcribed non-coding RNA 1427 (LINC01427)". The record is from RNAcentral. Lineage: Eukaryota; Metazoa; Chordata; Mammalia; Primates; Hominidae.
AACUCAAAGUUCAUAUUUAGUCACAUCUUAUAAUGAAACAAACCGUCUCUAGAACGUAUGCAUUUGAGCACUCCAGUACUCGAGUAUCCAAGGAAGGUGAACCAGCCCAGGAGUCCUGUAAACAGCCAUCCUUCCAAAUUAACCGAAACCAUUAACGUCAGAGCUUGAUGGAACAAUCACCCAUCAUUUUAAACAAAAUCAUCAGGCUGAGUUUGACCAAGAGCCCGGAUUUACCACCUCUGAAUUAGGACAUAGGACCCUCCGAGGGAUUUUACAAGCCAUUCUGAGGAACAUUUUGGGUCUUGUGCUCAAGGAAAUGGCUUCUUCAAGGAUUCCACAAGAUAAGUUAUACCCUCAGUUCUUUGCUUUACAUGGACAAGAGCUUUGACCUCCAAAACUGGGUGAAAUGAGACAUUUGCUUUUAUUUGUUUUUAUUUUAAGCAGCUCUUCAUAUGUAUAAUUUCCUUUUGCCCCAUUGAGAAGAGUACAUUAUAAUUUCCAGAGAAUUCAAAAAAAAAAA